AAGUUGCAGCCCGACCUGAGCGGAGCUCAUUUUUUGCUUGAUCAUAAAGUUCUGUUAAGCCUAAAAUGUAUGCAAAAAAUAGCGGGAGCGGAGGGCGGAAAUUGCU
This 106-nucleotide unclassified non-coding RNA is filed under the name Chryseobacterium scophthalmum. Its description in RNAcentral is "Flavo-1 RNA". The record is from RNAcentral. Lineage: Bacteria; Pseudomonadati; Bacteroidota; Flavobacteriia; Flavobacteriales; Weeksellaceae.